UGGGAGCAUAACUCAGUGGUAGAGUGUGUGCCUUACAAGCACGAAGCCGGGAGUUCGAUACUCUCUGCUCCCAA
This 74-nucleotide transfer RNA is filed under the name Petalonia binghamiae. RNAcentral's name for it is "Endarachne binghamiae tRNA-Val". It matches the Rfam family "tRNA". Rfam says of the family: Transfer RNA (tRNA) molecules are approximately 80 nucleotides in length. Their secondary structure includes four short double-helical elements and three loops (D, anti-codon, and T loops). Lineage: Eukaryota; Phaeophyceae; Ectocarpales; Scytosiphonaceae. The record is from RNAcentral.